CCUACGGGAGGCAGCAGUAAGGAAUAUUGGUCAAUGGGCGCAAGCCUGAACCAGCCAUGCCGCGUGCAGGAUGACUGCCCUAUGGGUUGUAAACUGCUUUUGUACGGGAAGAAACCCUGAUACGUGUAUCAGGUUGACGGUACCGUAAGAAUAAGGACCGGCUAACUUCGUGCCAGCAGCCGCGGUAAUACGAAGGGUCCAAGCGUUAUCCGGAUUUAUUGGGUUUAAAGGGUGCGUAGGCGGCUUAUUAAGUCAGUGGUGAAAGCCCAGAGCUCAACUCUGGAACUGCCAUUGAUACUGGUGAGCUUGAAUAUAGUUGAGGUAGGCGGAAUAUGACAUGUAGCGGUGAAAUGCUUAGAUAUGUCAUAGAACACCGAUUGCGAAGGCAGCUUGCUAAACUAUUAAUUGUACGCUGAGGCACUAAAAGCGUGGGGAUCAAACAGGAUUAGAUACCCUGGUAGUCCACGCCCUAAACGUUGAUAACUCGUUAUGUGCGAUAUACAGUACGUGACUAAGCGAAAGCAUAAGUUAUCCACCUGGAAGUAAGGUCGNAAGAUUGAAAUUCAAAGGAAUUGACGG
This 579-nucleotide ribosomal RNA is filed under the name uncultured bacterium. Its description in RNAcentral is "bacterial SSU rRNA". It matches the Rfam family "Bacterial small subunit ribosomal RNA", at positions 338 to 916 of the family's 1533-position model. The record is from RNAcentral.